Molecule: small RNA, 128 nt
Filed under: Salmonella enterica
Lineage: Bacteria; Pseudomonadati; Pseudomonadota; Gammaproteobacteria; Enterobacterales; Enterobacteriaceae
Also listed under: 9 other names
Description: RtT sRNA
Rfam family: RtT RNA
About the family: This family represents a bacterial cis-regulatory element known as RtT RNA. The exact function of RtT is unknown although it is thought that it may be involved in changing the cellular response in relation to amino acid starvation.
Source: RNAcentral
UUGCUAUCUGCGAUAUGGAAGAUUCGAACCUGCCGCAGGUUCGGGUCGAACGCAGUGAGACAACGGAGCCGUUUACGGCAACGGCCCGUAGGGCGAGGCGAAGCCGAGUCAUCCUGCACGACCCACCA